Molecule: ribosomal RNA, 468 nt
Filed under: uncultured bacterium
Lineage: Bacteria
Description: partial 16S ribosomal RNA
Rfam family: Bacterial small subunit ribosomal RNA
Source: RNAcentral
GACGAACGCUGGCGGCGUGCUUAACACAUGCAAGUCGAACGGAAAGGCCCUGCUUUUGUGGGGUGCUCGAGUGGCGAACGGGUGAGUAACACGUGAGUAACCUGCCCUUGACUUUGGGAUAACUUCAGGAAACUGGGGCUAAUACCGGAUAGGAGCUCCUUCUGCAUGGUGGGGGUUGGAAAGUUUCGGCGGUUGGGGAUGGACUCGCGGCUUAUCAGCUUGUUGGUGGGGUAGUGGAUUACCAAGGCUUUGACGGGUAGCCGGCCUGAGAGGGUGACCGGCCACAUUGGGACUGAGAUACGGCCCAGACUCCUACGGGAGGCAGCAGUGGAGAAUAUUGCACAAUGGGCGGAAGCCUGAUGCAGCAACGCCGCGUGCGGGAUGACGGCCUUCGGGUUGUAAACCGCUUUCGCCUGUGACGAAGCGUGAGUGACGGUAAUGGGUAAAGAAGCACCGGCUAACUACGUG